This 463-nucleotide ribosomal RNA is filed under the name uncultured bacterium. RNAcentral describes it as "partial 16S ribosomal RNA". It matches the Rfam family "Bacterial small subunit ribosomal RNA", at positions 28 to 507 of the family's 1533-position model. The record is from RNAcentral.
GAUGAACGCUGACAGAAUGCUUAACACAUGCAAGUCGAUGGGGAAGUGGUGCUUGCACCAUGGCAACCAUGGCGGACGGGUGAGUAACGCGUAAGGGACUUACCUGCAGGACUGGGAUAACAGAGGGAAACUCCUGACAAGAGCGGAUAAUGUCAUGGAGCUGCAUGGCUUUACGAUGAAAGUAGACGCCUUCCGAGAGCCUUGCGUCCUAUGAGCUAGUUGGUGAGGUAAUGGCUCACCAAGCCGAAGAGAGGUAGCCGGCCUGAGAGGGUGGACGGCCAAAAGGGGAAUGGGAGACGGCCCUUACUACUACGGGAGGCAGGAGGGGGGAAUAUUGGAGAAUGGCGGCAACGCUGAUGCAGCACUCCUGGGUGCACGAAGAAGGUUUUCGGAUUGUAAAGUGCUUUCAGCAGGGAAGAAGGAAGUGACGGUACCUGCAGAAGAAGCGACGGCUAAAUACGUG